GAUGGCAUCAUUAGAUAUUUAAAGUUUCGGCGGUACGGGAUGGGCAUGCGUAACAUUAGCUAGUUGGUAGGGUAACGGCCUACCAAGGCAACGAUGUUUAGGGGUCCUGAGAGGGUGAUCCCCCACACUGGUACUGAGACACGGACCAGACUCCUACGGGAGGCAGCAGUGAGGAAUAUUGGUCAAUGGGCGCAAGCCUGAACCAGCCAUCCCGCGUGGAGGAAGACGGCGCUAUGCGUUGUAAACUUCUUUUCCAGAGGAAUAAAAUUUUGUACGGGUACAGAACUGAAGGUACUCUGGGAAUAAGCAUCGGCUAACUCCGUGCCAGCAGCCGCGGUAAUACCGGAGGAUGCAAGCGUUAUCCGGAUUUAUUGGGUUUAAAAGGGUGCCGUA
This 393-nucleotide ribosomal RNA is filed under the name uncultured bacterium. RNAcentral's name for it is "bacterial SSU rRNA". It matches the Rfam family "Bacterial small subunit ribosomal RNA", at positions 184 to 573 of the family's 1533-position model. The record is from RNAcentral.